UGUUAUCGAAAGAUCUAAAGG
Molecule: non-coding RNA, 21 nt
Organism: Caenorhabditis elegans
Lineage: Eukaryota; Metazoa; Nematoda; Chromadorea; Rhabditida; Rhabditidae
Source: Ensembl